GAAUUGACGGGGACCCGCACAAGUAGCGGAGCAUGUGGUUUAAUUCGAAGCAACGCGAAGAACCUUACCUAAGCUUGACAUCCCAAUGACAUCUCCUUAAUCGGAGAGUUCCCUUCGGGGACAUUGGUGACAGGUGGUGCAUGGUUGUCGUCAGCUCGUGUCGUGAGAUGUUGGGUUAAGUCCCGCAACGAGCGCAACCCUUGUCUUUAGUUGCCAUCAUUAAGUUGGGCACUCUAGAGAGACUGCCAGGGAUAA
This 255-nucleotide ribosomal RNA is filed under the name Clostridioides difficile. RNAcentral's name for it is "partial 16S ribosomal RNA". It matches the Rfam family "Bacterial small subunit ribosomal RNA", at positions 907 to 1161 of the family's 1533-position model. The record is from RNAcentral. Lineage: Bacteria; Bacillati; Bacillota; Clostridia; Peptostreptococcales; Peptostreptococcaceae.